Myotis davidii is the source of this 1771-nucleotide long non-coding RNA. RefSeq lists it as uncharacterized. The record is from RefSeq and is a predicted model, not a curated record. The transcript has 5 exons. Lineage: Eukaryota; Metazoa; Chordata; Mammalia; Chiroptera; Vespertilionidae.
UGUAUGCCGGUGUCACUCUUAGCUGUGUUGGCUUGAUUUUUCAACAGCUGGUGCCAGCUUUUUCACCAAAACCACCUGAGCAACGCUGUGGUUUUUGUACUGCGGGGACUGAGUCAGCUACACAUUUCCUGGUUCUACUUGGAGUUUGGAUUUCUCUGAAAGGCAUUCAGACAUAAAUUCCGCUUGCCUUUUCCAUCAUCUGAUUUUCUAGCUGAUAUCAUUGGACUGCAGAAGAAACGAACAACUGGGGAUCUGUCCAAGAAAAUCACAGGUUUUCCUGAGUGUGCAAACUUUGUACCUACCAAAUGUAAUGGUUCUGUAACAGACAAAAGUUGGUCCUCUCUUUGGACUUGACUGUGAAAUGGCUGCACUCCCACCAACAGUGCAGAGGGCUCCCUUUCACCGCCUCCUCACCGGCACUGGCUUGUGGAUUUGUUGAUGGUCACCACUCUGACCAUUGUGAGGGGAUAUCUCAUCAUGGUCUCAAUUUGCAUCUCUCUGAUUAAUGACGAAGCGCAGCGCACCUCUAGACCAGGCUGCCCAACCCGAAUCCUGCUUUCCUAGAUUCUGCUGUAUAACCUCAUCUCAGUGCUGGGGAUAAUGACCCAGAUCUCACAGGACCGCUGUGAAGGUGAGAGCAUGCACUCACAACACGUGUUGUAUAAAGUAUGGAGGUUAGAGAAGAGUGUGUUUAUGUAGAAGGAAAUAUGCAAGAACAUGCAUAGGCUUGGAACAAAAACUGGGCAGACUAUAAGCCAAGAUUAUCACAGUAUUUAUCUCUGGUUAUGGGAUCGGCAGAUUAAGUUUUACCCAAUGUUUUUCUGUGCGUAGCAUCAGUAUAGUGCUUUUAUAAUUAGAAAAAAAACUCUACUCAAAAUUAACUGUCAAGUUUGGGCAUUUGAGGCAGUGUUUAACCCUUUACAUGGAACUUCUCAGGGACCUGGCCCUGUGGAAGUUGGGAGCCAGGAGCCAAACUGAAGGGCUGGAUUUGGGUUGAGACACUGCAACUUGGAGCUCCUUGGAGAGGCAGGUUCCCGGGCACAGUGCCCGCUGCAGCCCUGAGAGCACUGAUGCCAGCAGCUCUGCUGGGCUCCUGCCCGCUGGCCUCCAAAGCAAUGGGAGCUGGGCUGCCGCGUCCCUCUGGAGAAGCUAGACCUGGGGACGCGAGUGUCUGCCUUUGGGUGUGGACAGGCCUGGCUGGUGCUUCAGCUACACUCCUGAGAGAGGCACUUAACCUCGUUUGAGUCCAUUUCCUCAGCUGUAUAAAAUGAGAAUGUCAUACUUUCAAGAAUUAUUGUAAAAAUUUAAAGCUCGUUUGUGGAAAUUGACAGAAUAGUGUGCUAUAGGAAUUAUUUUCCCUCUCUGAGCCUCCGUUUCCUCACGUUUACAAAGGGACAUUAAUACCUACUUCACAAAUGAUGGGAAGCCCGCCUUGUCAGUAAGGCACACUAUACUGGAUCCUCUUCCACGUAUGAGAGCACAGCACGUUAGAGCUCCCUCUGCUCCCAGGACUAGCCUGGCAGUAGCAGGCAGUUUCCUUCUGGAUUGGGGAUCGGAGGUCCCUCAUGGGCCCCGGCUCCAGAACUCUGCAGAAAUGGGCAGGACCACAGACCUCUGGGGUCCUAGUUUGUACACACUCUCUCACGGACACUCCCACCUUUUGGAAGCCAAGGCUGCCUCUUGCAAAACACACAUUCCACACCUAAGGGCAUCUGUGCAUUUCCUCUCCCACACCCUCUGGACGGCCAUGCCCAGCUGCCAAGGCGGCUGC